Long non-coding RNA from Etheostoma cragini (Arkansas darter), 88 nucleotides. RefSeq lists it as uncharacterized. The record is from RefSeq and is a predicted model, not a curated record. Lineage: Eukaryota; Metazoa; Chordata; Actinopteri; Perciformes; Percidae. The transcript is spliced from 3 exons.
AACUGGUAAACACCUGCCAAACUGGCAGCAGCAUUGGCGUCAAUGCUUCGAUUUGAUUGGAUGACCUACAUUGUCGAUUCAAUUAAAG